Molecule: long non-coding RNA, 1088 nt
Organism: Vitis vinifera (wine grape)
Lineage: Eukaryota; Viridiplantae; Streptophyta; Magnoliopsida; Vitales; Vitaceae
Exons: 3
Source: RefSeq, a predicted model, not a curated record
AAUCCCUCAAUAUUGCAAAACUAACCCUUUACUUAUUUAGGUCUCAAAAAUGACCCAAUUCGGACAAAAAUACCCCCUCACCCCCUCAGUUAUCUUUUUCAGCCCUUUUUCCCUCCAACUCCAAUUUUCUCUUGUAUUGUGUCUCUUCGUUACCCUUUUUCCCUCCAACUCCAAUUUUCUCUUGUAUUGUGUCUCUUCGUUACCCUGCAAACCCAUUUGUUCCAUCUGUUAACCUGCGAGAAAGAAAUCACGAAGGAUUUUUCCGUUUAUUGCAAGAGAACAAAAAGGCAACACAAUACAAAGAAAAAACAGAAAUUCAUGAAAAUGGAGGAAGAAAAAAAUUCUGUGAUGAAAAAUACGAAACAGAAGAGGUAUAAAAUUUUGGGAAAAAAGAGAAGUGAAAGAAAGCCAGGUUUUGAAACCUCUUCAUCGUCAUCAGAAAAUGAGAAGAAAUCAACUGAUUCAAUUGACAUUCCUCCUCCUCUCCUAUCUUUUAUAUCUAAAAUAUCUAAAGAGGAGUACUUUCCUGGAAAAAUUGCAUGUUUGUCUCACUUGGUAGCCAUUGAAAAUAUUAAGAAGAAAUUGACUGAACCACAAUUGGAGAUGUUUAGAAAAUCAUGUUUUGGUCAUUUUUUACUCCUUCCCGAACUUAGAUUUUCAGCCCAAAUUGUUCAUCAAUUGUUGUUACGUCAAUGUGAAACCAAAAAAGACAAUGAAGUAUGGAUUUUAUUAAAGUCAAAGGGCUUAAGAUUUAGUAAAGAAGAGUUUGCAUUGAUUACGGGCUUGAGUUUUGGUCCUAUUACAAAAUGUGAUAAAAAAUCAUUACGAAUAAGGGACACAUACUUUAAAGGAGAAAACAAGGUGCGUAAUGAUGAGUUGGAGAAAGUUUUUCUUUCUUUAGGAGAGGAAAAGAAAAAGAAAAAGAAUAAGAAAAAUAAAAAAAAAGGAUUUGAAGAUGAAGAGGUGAUAAAGUUGGCACUUUUGUAUUUUUUAGAGCAUGUUUUAUUUGGGAAAGAAGGAAAAAAUUUGAUAGAUAUGGAAUGGGUUGCUUUGGUUGAUAAUUUGGAGGCUUUUAACAAGUAUCCAUG